UCCUGGCUCAGAUUUGAACGCUGGCGGCAUGCUUUACACAUGCAAGUCGAACGGCAGCGCGGGGCAACCUGGCGGCGAGUGGCGAACGGGUGAGUAAUAUAUCGGAACGUACCCAAGAGUGGGGGAUAACGUAGCGAAAGUUACGCUAAUACCGCAUACGAUCCAAGGAUGAAAGUGGGGGAUCUUCGGACCUCAUGCUCCUGGAGCGGCCGAUAUCUGAUUAGCUAGUUGGUGAGGUAAAGGCUCACCAAGGCGACGAUCAGUAGCUGGUCUGAGAGGACGACCAGCCACACUGGGACUGAGACACGGCCCAGACUCCUACGGGAGGCAGCAGUGGGGAAUUUUGGACAAUGGGCGCAAGCCUGAUCCAGCAAUGCCGCGUGAGUGAAGAAGGCCUUCGGGUUGUAAAGCUCUUUUGUCAGGGAAGAAACGGCUCAGGCUAAUAUCCUGGGCUAUUGACGGUACCUG
RNAcentral lists this ribosomal RNA (468 nucleotides) under uncultured bacterium BHB9. RNAcentral describes it as "bacterial SSU rRNA". It matches the Rfam family "Bacterial small subunit ribosomal RNA", at positions 17 to 481 of the family's 1533-position model. The record is from RNAcentral.